Molecule: non-coding RNA, 428 nt
Organism: Camellia sinensis
Lineage: Eukaryota; Viridiplantae; Streptophyta; Magnoliopsida; Ericales; Theaceae
Source: RefSeq, a predicted model, not a curated record
UUCCCAUCCACCUUCCUAUGUUUUGAAUUACACAAGCUAUACUGUAUAUGAGGAUGGUAGCAGUGGAGCACAAUUACCUCAACGGCCCAACGGGCAUACUACUAAAAGAUAGAGAUAGAGAGAGAGAGAGAGAGAGAGAUGAUAUUUCAAGAUCAACCUAUUCUUGGAGAUCUCUAUCUCUCUUCGGUGUCACCUGGUUAUAGAAUUUCGUUGUGUUCGGGGGAGGUGGGUGGUUUGUCAUGGGAAGUGACUGGUAGUCUGUAUAUACAAUAUUCAGUCCAGAGAUGGGUAGUUUUGUGACAGAAUUAUUUUACUUUAUAGUUGCUAUUACCUUCAAAACCAACUUUCUAAAUCCCCUCUUUUGUUUGUGUUUGAUAAUCUGUGGUUCCAUGGAUUUAUAUACCAAACCUAUGAGUGGCUCUCUCUCU